Molecule: RNA transcript, 1250 nt
Organism: Cucumis melo (muskmelon)
Lineage: Eukaryota; Viridiplantae; Streptophyta; Magnoliopsida; Cucurbitales; Cucurbitaceae
Gene name: BAG family molecular chaperone regulator 1-like
Exons: 5
Source: RefSeq, a predicted model, not a curated record
AUUGAUCGUUUAGCAAACCCCAAGAUUCUUUCUUCUUCCCAUGGGUUUCCUCUCUGUCUCCAAAAUAAAUUGUAAUGUGAAACCAAAGAGAAAUAUAGAAAUUAAAUUAAAGGUUCAGCGAAAAAUGGUUUCAAUUGAAAAUCAAAGUCAGAGAGUUUCAGAAUUGGAUAUUAGACCUGGAGGAAUGUUGGUUCAAAAGAGGGAUUUUAAUUCAAAUCCUUCCUUCCCCACCAUUAAAGUUAAGGUCAAAUUUGGCUCUUCUUAUCAUCAUAUUCAAAUCAACUCCCAUGCAAGCUUUGGUGAAUUGAAGAAGUUGUUGGCAGAGCCAACAGGGUUGCACCCAGAAGAGCAAAAGCUAAUAUACAAAAACAAAGAGAGGAAUUCAAAAGCUUAUCUAGAUGUGGCAAGAGUUCAAAAUGGCUCAAAAAUUGUGUUGGUUGAAGACAUUUUAAGCAAGGAAAGAAGAUGCCUUGAAAUUCUUAAAAAUCAAAAGUUUCAAAUAUCCUCCAACUUCCUAAAAGAAAUAAACUUGGAAGUCAAUAAACUCUUUCAAGAGGUUGGAUCCGUUCAUUUGAAAGCUUGUAAAGAUGGGAGAGUUUAUGAAAAAGAAGUGGAUGAUUUGAUUGAAUUACUUAUGAGAAAAUUGAUACAAUUAGAUGAAAUUGAAGUCGUGGGAGAUUUGAGACUACAAAGAAGACAACAGGUCUCGGUUUUCGUGGCCUAAAAUGCAUGAUAUAAGGCCUAACUGCCACUAAUUAGGUCUUGGUUUGAGUUCGUGAGUUGAUUAUCGAGGACUCGGGAAAUCUUCAAAGGCAGCUUGCUGCCGUGCGCUCCACCUGGCCCAAGUUUAUCUCUUAGCCCGUUCCAUUCCGUCCAACCGACCGACGAUCACAUACCCGCUCGGCUUUCUCCCAUUCACACGUGUCUGUGACUCGACCCAGGCCAACUGCGACCCAAUCGUUUCGUGCAUCAUUUCACUUGCGCGCCUGCGUAUUUUGGCUUACCCAACCAGAAGCCCCACCCUACUCUUUUGCUUUGUUGACCCGUGACCUGCUACCUGUUUUCGUGGAUUGGCCGGUUCCAGCCCAUUUAUUGAGUUUUGGGUCAAUUUAACGUAUUUUUUUAUGGUUUUUCAGUCAGUUCGAAUGGUUCUAAAGCGAUUUUGUACUAAGUCAAAUUAUUAUUGUAAUAAUUUAGUUCUUAGCUUAAUUUAUUGGUGAAAACCAAUAUAUUUCAGAGUGUUUUUUUAA